Erpetoichthys calabaricus (reedfish) is the source of this 1018-nucleotide long non-coding RNA. RefSeq lists it as uncharacterized. The record is from RefSeq and is a predicted model, not a curated record. The transcript is spliced from 4 exons. Lineage: Eukaryota; Metazoa; Chordata; Cladistia; Polypteriformes; Polypteridae.
UUUUAGGCCAACUUGUUUCCUGCAGCCCUGGUGUAUUUUGGAUCCUCUGACAAACCUGAUUGCUAUUUGAAGACGGAACUAUUGGACAGUGCUGUUACACCUUUUGAAGCAGAUGAUCUUAUUGCAAGUUGUAUUCCAAGGUCACCAACCCAAUCAUCUAGUUCAUUAGCUUCGGAAGCAACAAUUUUCCCUGUUUUGGAGACUGACUUGGAAGCCAGUGCACAAAACUCCGCUCCUGAUAAUUCUCACCCAAAUGGACUAGCUUCAAAACCUAAUGCUACCGAUUCCAACAAGGUGCCCAAGUGGCUAAAACUGCCAGGGAAAUGAUGAACCACAUGGAAGAAGGACCCACGGGGGAAAUGUUCCACAAAAUAAAAUAAUGUGCUGAAUUGAGUUAAUGGCUUUUCAAUAGAUACAUAAUGGCAUAAUAUUGGUAAAAAAUAGUAUAUUAGUUAUAAACAGGUGUGAUUUCUUCUACAGAAUUGAUAUGAAAUGUUGAAUAGAGACAGAUGUAUUAAUGAAAUGUAACUUUGAUUUUGCAUUUAUCAUUUUGCCAAGUUAUUGUCUGUAAAAUUAGUUUUUUUUUGUAAAAUACAAAAUCACUGACCAGGCAGCGAUCAGUGAAAAUCUCUGGAUCAGCAGCAUGGUAUUAGAAAUGUGCACUGCAGAUUCAAACAACCAAAGAAGUCUUGAAGGGUGAAUCUGCAGUGCACAGCCAAAAAAAUAACCACUGGGACAAAAUGCCGAAAGUAUUUUUCACACAAAGUAGUACCAGCUAAAGUUGUGCAGCCCAGGAAAGCAUGGCCAACACAUUUUAAGAGGUUUCUCGUCUUUUUUUUUUCUUCCUUUAGCACUUACCUUUUACUUAUAGUAUAAGAAAUUAAUAAAAUAUGAGGUUUUCCUAGUGGCAAUAUUUGGAUAAAAAAUUAAUUAAAAACACAUUUCAGUUUGUGAAUGUGCUUCCAUCUUGUUGCAUUCUAUUUAGGAGCAAAAAGUUAAUUAAAUCAAAGAUGCUUAA